This 255-nucleotide ribosomal RNA is filed under the name uncultured bacterium. RNAcentral describes it as "partial small subunit ribosomal RNA". It matches the Rfam family "Bacterial small subunit ribosomal RNA", at positions 26 to 285 of the family's 1533-position model. The record is from RNAcentral.
AGGACGAACGCUGGCGGCGUGCUUAACACAUGCAAGUCGAGCGGAAAGGCCCUUCGGGGUACUCGAGCGGCGAACGGGUGAGUAACACGUGAGCAACCUGCCCUUGGCUUCGGGAUAGCUCCGGGAAACCGGAAUUAAAUACCGAAUAUGACUGCGGCUGACAUCAGCCACGGUGGAAAGUUUUUCGGCUAGGGAUGGACUCGCGGCCUAUCAGCUAGUUGGUGAGGUAACGGCCCACCAAGGCGACGACGGGUA